RNAcentral lists this ribosomal RNA (511 nucleotides) under uncultured bacterium. Its description in RNAcentral is "bacterial SSU rRNA". It matches the Rfam family "Bacterial small subunit ribosomal RNA", at positions 29 to 518 of the family's 1533-position model. The record is from RNAcentral.
AACGAACGCUGGCGGCGUGCUUAACACAUGCAAGUCGAACGCGAAAGGGACUUCGGUCCUGAGUAAAGUGGCGCACGGGUGAGUAACGCGUAGAUAACCUGUCUUCAUGUCUGGAAUAAUACGCCGAAAGGGGUACUAAUACCGGAUAUUCUUGCUUUUCAUAAGUUAUGCAAGCAAAGGUGGCCUCUGCAUAUGCUACUGCAUGAAGAGGGGUCUGCGUACCAUUAGCUAGUAGGUGGGGUAAUGGCCUACCUAGGCGACGAUGGUUAGCGGGUCUGAGAGGAUGAUCCGCCACACUGGCGCUGGAACACGGGCCAGACUCCUACGGGAGGCAGCAGUGAGGAAUAUUGCGCAAUGGGGGAAACCCUGACGCAGCGACGCCGCGUGAGUGAAGGAAGGCCUUCGGGUCGUAAAGCUCUGUCAAGAGGAAAGAAGUGUACAAUGGCUAAUACCUGUUGUAUUUGACGGUACCUCUAAAGGAAGCACCGGCUAACUCCGUGCCAGCCGCAGC